This is a non-coding RNA of Canis lupus familiaris (dog), 89 nucleotides long. NCBI's taxonomy places the organism in Eukaryota, Metazoa, Chordata, Mammalia, Carnivora, Canidae. The record is from Rfam.
GGGGGGAGGCCGGGCCUGGGCUGUGUCCCAGCACCCUGUGUUCCCGGGCCUGCGCUGUUGGAUUCGCGCUCCUGGCCGCGCAGCGCCCU